This 702-nucleotide long non-coding RNA is filed under the name Numida meleagris (helmeted guineafowl). RNAcentral's name for it is "lncRNA (ENSNMEG00000019376.1)". Lineage: Eukaryota; Metazoa; Chordata; Aves; Galliformes; Numididae. The record is from RNAcentral.
AGCCAUUCUAUUAUUCAAUGGUAUCUCACCUGACCCUCCCCCUCCCAUGCAUUACAACAUUGGGUUGCUAGCACCAGUCCUACCUUGCGUAUAGGAUCCAAGCAGCACAGCUGGGCUGGAGGAGGGCUGUGCUGUGCCGUGCUGUGCCACUGACUCCAGGUGCAGUCAAGGUCUUGCAGUGCUGGAAAAGAGAAAGGUGCUGCUCUUCGAGCAGAGGUGUUGAUGUGCACACACACUUCCGUUCCCAAAAGCUCAAGCCAUCCACCAGCACCAGGUACCGGUUAUGUGGGAGCCAUCAGCUCCAGCCAGGACCUGAAGGCAGAGACUAGGGCUUGGCAGCUGUGGCCGGCGGGAAAGGUGAGCCUGGAGCUGUGCUGCCUGGAGAACUCAGCUUCCUCCUGGGAGGAGCGGGGCUUGCGGGGGCCGCUGCUCACCCUGGUGCACCUGGCGGGAGGAGGUGAUUGAUUCCUCGUCUGGAAGGGCACAGCAAUGUGAGCAGACAGGACAGAGCUCUCUGGCUGUCCAUGCGCCCUUGGUGCAAGGCCCUGAGCCAGGCUGUGCUCACUCCAUCCUGCUGUCUGGUCAAAGGCUGGGAGAUGGAAAUAGAGCUGUGUUCUUCAUGUUCCUCGGGUAACCAAAGCGAUCUCUUUUAGAAUCUCAUUUGCAGCUUCUAUUUUUUUUUUAUUUAUAAAGCUUAGUUUA